ACACAAAAGCGCAUGUGCUGUGAGCUCGAUGAGUAGGGCGGGACACGUGGUAUCCUGUCUGAAUAUGGGGGGACCAUCCUCCAAGGCUAAAUACUCCUGACUGACCGAUAGUGAACCAGUACCGUGAGGGAAAGGCGAAAAGAACCCCGGCGAGGGGAGUGAAAAAGAACCUGAAACCGUGUACGUACAAGCAGUGGGAGCACCCUUUGGGGUGUGACUGCGUACCUUUUGUAUAAUGGGUCAGCGACUUAUAUUCUGUAGCAAGGUUAACCGUAUAGGGGAGCCGGAGGGAAACCGAGUCUUAACCGGGCGUUAAGUUGCAGGGUAUAGACCCGAAACCCGGUGAUCUAGCCAUGGGCAGGUUGAAGGUUGGGUAACACUAACUGGAGGACCGAACCGACUAAUGUUGAAAAAUUAGCGGAUGACCUGUGGCUGGGGGUGAAAGGCCAAUCAAACCGGGAGAUAGCUGGUUCUCCCCGAAAGCUAUUUAGGUAGCGCCUCGUGAAUUCAUCUCCGGGGGUAGAGCACUGUUUCGGCUAGGGGGCCAUCCCGGCUUACCAACCCGAUGCAAACUGCGAAUACCGGAGAAUGUUAUCACGGGAGACACACGGCGGGUGCUAACGUCCGUCGUGAAGAGGGAAACAACCCAGACCGCCAGCUAAGGUCCCAAAGUCAUGGUUAAGUGGGAAACGAUGUGGGAAGGCCCAGACAGCCAGGAUGUUGGCUUAGAAGCAGCCAUCAUUUAAAGAAAGCGUAAUAGCUCACUGGUCGAGUCGGCCUGCGCGGAAGAUGUAACGGGGCUAAACCAUGCACCGAAGCUGCGGCAGCGACGCUGAUGCGUUGUUGGGUAGGGGAGCGUUCUGUAAGCCUGCGAAGGUGGCCUGUGAGGGUUGCUGGAGGUAUCAGAAGUGCGAAUGCUGACAUAAGUAACGAUAAAGCGGGUGAAAAGCCCGCUCGCCGGAAGACCAAGGGUUCCUGUCCAACGUUAAUCGGGGCAGGGUGAGUCGACCCCUAAGGCGAGGCCGAAAGGCGUAGUCGAUGGGAAACGGGUUAAUAUUCCCGUACUUGGUGUUACUGCGAAGGGGGGACGGAGAAGGCUAUGUUGGCCGGGCGACGGUU
Molecule: ribosomal RNA, 1119 nt
Filed under: Salmonella enterica subsp. enterica serovar Montevideo
Lineage: Bacteria; Pseudomonadati; Pseudomonadota; Gammaproteobacteria; Enterobacterales; Enterobacteriaceae
Description: partial 23S ribosomal RNA
Rfam family: Bacterial large subunit ribosomal RNA
Source: RNAcentral